AACAAUUUCUGUAAACGUUAUGCUGUUUGAGUCUGAACUCUUGUAAAGGCAGAAGAGUCUGGGCAAAUAAUGAAAAAUUGAUUUGUUUCUGGAAAAGCUUUGCGUUGUGUGUGAGAGCUAUGGAGGAAAGACAUCAUUAUGGAGGAAUCCUAAUUGUAAAUUGAACCACAUAAUUUUCUCCAUCCCCAAAUUAGCAGUGUAAGGUAAGAGAGAUUGGAUUUCA
RNAcentral lists this long non-coding RNA (223 nucleotides) under Anser brachyrhynchus (Pink-footed goose). RNAcentral's name for it is "lncRNA (ENSABRG00000016106.1)". Lineage: Eukaryota; Metazoa; Chordata; Aves; Anseriformes; Anatidae. The record is from RNAcentral.